CACGUAGGGAGCAAGCGUUGUCCGGAUUUAUUGGGCGUAAAGAGCUCGUAGGUGGUUCGGUAAGUCAGGUGUGAAACCUCCAGGCUCAACCUGGAGACGCCACUUGAUACUGCUGUGACUGGAGUCCGGUAGGGGAGCGUGGAAUUCCUGGUGUAGCGGUGAAAUGCGCAGAUAUCAGGAGGAACACCAGCGGCGAAGGCGGCGCUCUGGGCCGAUACUGACGCUGAGGCGCGAAGGCGUGGGGAGCAAACAGG
Molecule: ribosomal RNA, 254 nt
Filed under: uncultured bacterium
Lineage: Bacteria
Description: partial 16S ribosomal RNA
Rfam family: Bacterial small subunit ribosomal RNA
Source: RNAcentral